RNAcentral lists this ribosomal RNA (371 nucleotides) under uncultured bacterium. RNAcentral's name for it is "bacterial SSU rRNA". It matches the Rfam family "Bacterial small subunit ribosomal RNA", at positions 527 to 896 of the family's 1533-position model. The record is from RNAcentral.
AGAGGGUGCGAGCGUUGUUCGGAAUUAUUGGGCGUAAAGCGCUUGUAGGCGGCCUUUCAAGUCUCGUGUGAAAUCCCUCGGCUCAACUGAGGAAGUGCGCGGGAAACUGAAGGGCUUGAGUCCCGGAGAGGGUGGCGGAAUUCCCGGUGUAGAGGUGAAAUUCGUAGAUAUCGGGAGGAACACCAGUGGCGAAGGCGGCCACCUGGACGGAGACUGACGCUGAGACGCGAAAGCGUGGGGAGCAAACAGGAUUAGAUACCCUGGUAGUCCACGCCGUAAACGAUGGGCACUAGCUGUGGUGGGUGUUGACCCCUGCCGUGGCGAAGCUAACGCAUUAAGUGCCCCGCCUGGGAAGUACGGCCGCAAGGCUA